RNAcentral lists this ribosomal RNA (466 nucleotides) under Vreelandella stevensii. RNAcentral describes it as "partial 16S ribosomal RNA". It matches the Rfam family "Bacterial small subunit ribosomal RNA", at positions 338 to 795 of the family's 1533-position model. Lineage: Bacteria; Pseudomonadati; Pseudomonadota; Gammaproteobacteria; Oceanospirillales; Halomonadaceae. The record is from RNAcentral.
CCUACGGGUGGCUGCAGUGGGGAAUAUUGGACAAUGGGCGAAAGCCUGAUCCAGCCAUGCCGCGUGUGUGAAGAAGGCCUUCGGGUUGUAAAGCACUUUCAGUGGGGAAGAAAGCCUUGGGGCUAAUACCCUCGAGGAAUGACAUCACCCACAGAAGAAGCACCGGCUAACUCCGUGCCAGCAGCCGCGGUAAUACGGAGGGUGCGAGCGUUAAUCGGAAUUACUGGGCGUAAAGCGCGCGUAGGCGGUCUGAUAAGCCGGUUGUGAAAGCCCCGGGCUCAACCUGGGAACGGCAUCCGGAACUGUCAGGCUAGAGUGCAGGAGAGGAAGGUAGAAUUCCCGGUGUAGCGGUGAAAUGCGUAGAGAUCGGGAGGAAUACCAGUGGCGAAGGCGGCCUUCUGGACUGACACUGACGCUGAGGUGCGAAAGCGUGGGUAGCAAACAGGAUUAGAUACCCCAGUUAGUC